This 500-nucleotide ribosomal RNA is filed under the name uncultured bacterium. Its description in RNAcentral is "partial 16S ribosomal RNA". It matches the Rfam family "Bacterial small subunit ribosomal RNA", at positions 30 to 523 of the family's 1533-position model. The record is from RNAcentral.
AUUGAACGCUGGCGGAAUGCUUUACACAUGCAAGUCGAACGGCAGCACGGGCUUCGGCCUGGUGGCGAGUGGCGAACGGGUGAGUAAUGUAUCGGAACGUGCCCAGUCGUGGGGGAUAACGUAGUGAAAAUUACGCUAAUACCGCAUACGAUCUAUGGAUGAAAGCGGGGGAUCGCAAGACCUCGCGCGAUUGGAGCGGCCGAUAUCGGAUUAGGUAGUUGGUGGGGUAAAGGCCCACCAAGCCAACGAUCUGUAGCUGGUCUGAGAGGACGACCAGCCACACUGGAACUGAGACACGGUCCAGACUCCUACGGGAGGCAGCAGUGGGGAAUUUUGGACAAUGGGCGAAAGCCUGAUCCAGCCAUUCCGCGUGCAGGAUGAAGGCCCUCGGGUUGUAAACUGCUUUUGUACAGAACGAAAAGGUUUCUACUAAUACUAGGAGCUCAUGACGGUACUGUAAGAAUAAGCACCGGCUAACUACGUGCCAGCAGCCGCCGUAA